GAUGAACGCUGGCGGCGUGCCUAAUACAUGCAAGUCGAGCGAACAGACGAGGAGCUUGCUCCUCUGACGUUAGCGGCGGACGGGUGAGUAACACGUGGAUAACCUACCUAUAAGACUGGGAUAACUUCGGGAAACCGGAGCUAAUACCGGAUAAUAUAUUGAACCGCAUGGUUCAAUAGUGAAAGACGGUUUUGCUGUCACUUAUAGAUGGAUCCGCGCCGCAUUAGCUAGUUGGUAAGGUAACGGCUUACCAAGGCAACGAUGCGUAGCCGACCCGAGAGGGUGAUCGGCCACACUGGAACUGAGACACGGUCCAGACUCCUACGGGAGGCAGCAGUAGGGAAUCUUCCGCAAUGGGCGAAAGCCUGACGGAGCAACGCCGCGCGAGUGAUGAAGGUCUUCGGAUCGUAAAACUCUGUUAUUAGGGAAGAACAAAUGUGUAAGUAACUAUGCACGUCUUGACGGUACCUAAUCAGAAAGCCACGGCUAACUACGUG
This 497-nucleotide ribosomal RNA is filed under the name uncultured bacterium. RNAcentral describes it as "partial 16S ribosomal RNA". It matches the Rfam family "Bacterial small subunit ribosomal RNA", at positions 28 to 507 of the family's 1533-position model. The record is from RNAcentral.